This 216-nucleotide long non-coding RNA is filed under the name Olea europaea (common olive). RNAcentral describes it as "long non-coding RNA (OEUR_LNC007263)". The record is from RNAcentral. Lineage: Eukaryota; Viridiplantae; Streptophyta; Magnoliopsida; Lamiales; Oleaceae.
GGAUGUGGUGGUGGUGAUUGAAGAUGGAGUUGCUAACUCUUGAUUUUCAGAUGGGAUAACAACCCCAGGCCAAGAUUGGCACAUGCAGUGUUUCCCCUUGUCAAUACUGCCAUAAAGGGUUUUCAAGUGAUUCCCACACCCACCCCAUGUAUACUUCCCACAUUUCUUGCAUUCCACUCUAUAACACAUGAUGAUUUCUUUUCCUUUGAUCCCAAG